UGUGCAGGCGGGACGCCAAGUGGUGUAUGAAAGCGGUCGGCUCAACCCGGCCCGGGUUAUGCCAGACUGGCGUUCUGGAGUGCGAGAGAGGGGCGUGGAAUUCCGGGUGUAGUGGUGAAAUGCGUAGAGAUCCGGAGGAACCCCAGAGGCGAAGGCGGCGCCCUGGCUCGCAACUGACGCUCAGACACGACAGCAUGGGGAGCGAACG
This 208-nucleotide ribosomal RNA is filed under the name uncultured bacterium. RNAcentral's name for it is "partial 16S ribosomal RNA". It matches the Rfam family "Bacterial small subunit ribosomal RNA", at positions 568 to 774 of the family's 1533-position model. The record is from RNAcentral.